This is a long non-coding RNA of Zeugodacus cucurbitae (melon fly), 2178 nucleotides long. RefSeq lists it as uncharacterized. The transcript is spliced from 3 exons. Lineage: Eukaryota; Metazoa; Arthropoda; Insecta; Diptera; Tephritidae. The record is from RefSeq and is a predicted model, not a curated record.
CCAGCUCGGCUCGUUAGUGAAACACUAGUUAGUAGCUACUGGUAACUAUUACUGGUUACCCACCAGUUUACCGCCAUUUCUUGGCAUCCCAAUGGUAUGGUCUAAAAAUGGGCGGAAUCAGUUAAUAACCAAUAGAAGUUCAUCCGAUUCGUUCAUUUGACAAUAUAUAAACUAAACACCAGGGAAGAUAUCGGAACAAAUCUUUGCUAAAAUAUUGCGUUUCUAAAAUCACGAAAAUCGGACUAUAACAUUUUAAAGGCCCAGAUACCUUAAAUCUCUCAGAUAUUCUAAAGAAAUUCAAAGGAGAUCUGUUUUUUUCUACUAGUGUACGUCUGUGCCAGUCGAAUUGUGUGUUAUUUAAAUAGCACUAAAUAAAUAAUGUGCGAGAGUAUAUAUACCCGAACAUAGCUUAGCCCUACCUUACUUGUUGUUUGUUUUUCUUUGUGUGUCACUGUAUUUAUACACAUAUGUACUCUCACAAAUACAGCUGCGGUGGCACGCUUCAGCAUUAAAGUAAAUAUACGUAUGUAAAUCGUUCUGUAUGACUGCCAAGCCACAAAUGAACAAAGGUGAAUGUGAACAAAUAUGAUGGCUAACACAAAAUGCACACAAUGAAAGAAAAAGUUGUGCGGGCACCCGCAAAGCGAUUUAUGUUGCUUUUCGGUGUUCUCAGCGGUUUCAAUGUUUUAAAAUACAUUAACAACCAAUUAUCCCAGUAACCAAUAGUGUUCCAUUGAAUCUGCCGCUACGUGCAAAUUUUCACUUAGCUUAUUGCCAAAAGUCAUGGAAAAUACUUGUUGCGAAUAUUUAUCCGAAUUGUAAACUCGGGCGAAAGUCAAAAGGCUUGUUUUUUAUGUUUAUUAUUCUAUUUUUGUUUCAUCUAGAAUUGGGAUCCAAUUGUCAUUUUGACAAAAUAUACAUGUUGUUGUUGCGCAUCGCAAUUUUUAUAGUUUUGGCACUGAAUUAUUGUUGAAUUGAGUGGAAUGUUUUUUAUAUUUAAUUUUUAUAUAUCUUAUUCAUAUUUCUUACAAAAAAUGAUUAACGAAAGACGAACUCAGUACUCAUUCAGUAUCUUUUUGCCAAAUAAAAUUGCAUUGUUUAUAACCUCAAUUGGGUACGCUUCGUUUCAUGUCUUUCAAAACUUGCCUACCUGUUUGGUACAACCUUCAUUACUUAUCGCGCUUGUUGAUUACUGCGCUGAUGCAUAUCUGAAUAACGAGCGACAAUUAGUAGCACAUCGGUGAAAAAUCGUUUGUACACACAUAUUUCUUUGACUUAUUGCAAAAACACUACUCAAAACAUAUUUACAUAAGUAUGUAUACAUACAUUUACUGAAGGAAUCUCAUCGUUAAAAGACGGUGUAAUGAAUAAGCUGCGAGUAAUUGGCAAUAAAAGCAACAUUUAAUUGGAUAUCAUAUUUUUAUGGACACAUGACGACACGCAUUAUAUGUGGAACAUGCGCUUACAACAAUAUAUACAACUUAUUACAUACGUACAAAUGUUACGUAUACGUUACGUCGUCGUUGCAAUUAAAUUUUAUACAGCUGUGCAAUUUAAAUCAACCAUUACACUACGCAUCAUUAAUUCGUUAUCAACAAAUCACUGUGGCGUCCUUAUGUAAAAAUAUAUAUAACGAUAUCAGAUGAAAUAGUAGGUCUCACAGGCGCCAUGAAAUUUAACGACGACGGACGGGAUGACUGUAAACAGCACCAUGACAAAAGUGGCUAAAUGGAGUAAUGACCCUGGCCUGAGGAAGAGUAGGUAAGUCUACGGCCACAAGUGGGAAUCGAAAGGAACUGUUCGGAGAGCCGUACAUGAUGAUGAAGCGUACACACAUUGAUGAGCAAUUGUGUGACAAUGACCGCUUGGAAGUCUACUGCAAGGAUUUUUCCGAUUUAUUGGUCACGAAGUUGGUCAUCAAUUUAUUACCACUAUGCAUAUAAAUUACCACUGCUCAAGAAUACUAUAUACGGUUCAGAGAAUUCCACAGUCCGCGUCGGCAGGGAAAAUAUAAUCGAUGAUCUGAUGUGACGAGUAAGUAAAUAAAGGACUGCGCUCGUGUUCAGUGUCAUCUGGUGUAUUCAGUUUCAUGGAUCCAUUAUCGCAGGAAACUUGGGUGGGUAUUGCCGAAAACUUUUAAUAUUUUUGUUAUCAAACAAUUCUCUUUAGGAUUUUUAA